GUUGAAAUUUCUUAACCAUUUUAACUUUAUUCACAAAGUUUAUGGAAAUUUUUUGAUUUCUAUAACAUUGGGUUAAAAGUUUAUGCAAGUGGGAAGUACCAGGCUGUUCAGUGAAAUCUGUUUCAUUCAAGGCUUAAACAAAGUCAAAUAUGAGUAUCCUCCAACCUUUCUUGCUCAGAUUAUCUCAUUCUCAUCCUGGCAGAGACGUAGCUGUACUAAGAGUUACAUUGUUAUGUUAGUAAAGGACAAUCUGUUCCAUUCACUUGGCAUAAUUUUAGGAACAGAAGCAUAUUUUAGUAGUAAGUUGUAACUUUCCUAUCUAAAAAGCUUCCCGCAUAUCCCCACACCAAGCGGUCAGCAGAUUUAAGUCUUAACUGUCGAACAGCCAACACAAAGAGCAAAGAAAACAGUUACAAAAUUCACAGUGUCAGAAAGUAAAAACAAACCAGUUGCCCAUGGAAAAUACUGCAAUGCUUAAUGCUAAGAUCAAUAAAAAAAUGAGGGCAAACUGACAUAAGCCGAUUUGGCUGCUCAAAACUGUCGAGUUCUUUAUAGCCUCUGAUGCUCAGAGGUAGAUAAGAGCCACAGGUUCUCUCCCACAACAGCCACACCAUGCCACCAUGGUACGCUGUGAUGAAAGCGGGUCUCAGUCUGAAUUCUGACACUCCUUUCAACAUUUAGUAACAACCAGGCAGAAAAACACUGUCACGUGACCUUAUAACUUUGGUAAAGUCUCAGCUUCUGCCUCAAGCACUCCGGCAAGCACCUUGCAAGAAUGGUUUACUCAAAGCAGAUGUAGCCAUAUUCUAGCAGCCAAAGUGACCAGCCUUCUAGUCUGCCCAGGUCCCGAAUCCUCUGUUGAGUGGCAGGACAUCUGCACCCUUGCUGGGCCACUUCCCACUCAUGCAAGGAUGAUGGUACUUUUAUAACAAUUUCAGCAAAUCUACCAACUUUGAAUGCCAGUCAAACACCAAUGAAUACUUAUUUCUAUCAUCUCUUUGUCAGGAGUUCUUAAACUUUUGAGGCCAUAGACCCGUUUGGCAGUCAGAUGAAACCUGUGCAUUACUUCUCAGAACAAUGUUUUUAAAUGCAUUAAAAAAAAAAAAAUGACAUUUCACAGAAAGCCAAUUAUAUUGGAAUGGGGUUAUCAAAAAUAAUGUAAUAAAAAUAUGUGCUUCUCUUGGAAAGCAUUGAAUAAUAACACCUGAAAACUAUUAUAGCUCUGAAGUAAUGAUGAGUAAAUUGUAUUUUGCGAUAUCUGCAAUAACUCUAAUGCUACAUGAAAAUUGAUCAAAUUGUUGGCAAACCCUAAAGCAAGACAAAAGAUUCUCUUUAAAUGAUGUCAAUAUUUCAUG
This 1355-nucleotide long non-coding RNA is filed under the name Equus caballus (horse). Its description in RNAcentral is "lncRNA (ENSECAG00000057375.1)". Lineage: Eukaryota; Metazoa; Chordata; Mammalia; Perissodactyla; Equidae. The record is from RNAcentral.